RNAcentral lists this long non-coding RNA (402 nucleotides) under Homo sapiens (human). Its description in RNAcentral is "non-protein coding lnc-WDR63-5:1". The record is from RNAcentral. Lineage: Eukaryota; Metazoa; Chordata; Mammalia; Primates; Hominidae.
GUGGAGUUGAUGACUUUCUGUUUUCUGUUUGUAAAUUAUUUGCUAAGCAUAUUUUCUCUAGGCUUUUUUCCUUUUGGGGUUCUACAGUCGUAAAAGAGAUAAUAAGAUUAGUUGGACAGUUUAAAGCUUUUAUUCGUCCUUUGACAAAAGUAAAUGGGAGGGCAUUCCAUCCCUUCCUGAAGGGGGACACUCCAUGAGUGUCUGUGAGAGGCAGCUAUCUGCACUCUAAACUGCAAACAGAAAUCAGGUGUUUUAAGACUGAAUGUUUUAUUUAUCAAAAUGUAGCUUUUGGGGAGGGAGGGGAAAUGUAAUACUGGAAUAAUUUGUAAAUGAUUUUAAUUUUAUAUUCAGUGAAAAGAUUUUAUUUAUGGAAUUAACCAUUUAAUAAAGAAAUAUUUACCU